AUCCAGCUGACGAGUCCCAAAUAGGACGAAAGGCUCGUCAAACUAGAU
Molecule: non-coding RNA, 48 nt
Filed under: Schistosoma bovis
Lineage: Eukaryota; Metazoa; Platyhelminthes; Trematoda; Strigeidida; Schistosomatidae
Also listed under: 1 other name
Source: RNAcentral